Non-coding RNA from Schistocephalus solidus, 83 nucleotides. NCBI's taxonomy places the organism in Eukaryota, Metazoa, Platyhelminthes, Cestoda, Diphyllobothriidea, Diphyllobothriidae. The record is from Rfam.
GGCCUCGUAGCUCAGUUGGAUAGAGCGUUUGCUGUACUAGAACCUUCCCCAUGCUGCCGUGGGUUUGAAUCCCACCGAGACCA